UAGGGAAUCUUCGGCAAUGGACGAAAGUCUGACCGAGCAACGCCGCGUGAGUGAAGAAGGUUUUCGGAUCGUAAAACUCUGUUGUUAGAGAAGAACAAGGACGUUAGUAACUGAACGUCCCCUGACGGUAUCUAACCAGAAAGCCACGGCUAACUACGUGCCAGCAGCCGCGGUAAUACGUAGGUGGCAAGCGUUGUCCGGAUUUAUUGGGCGUAAAGCGAGCGCAGGCGGUUUCUUAAGUCUGAUGUGAAAGCCCCCGGCUCAACCGGGGAGGGUCAUUGGAAACUGGGAGUCUUGAGUGCAGAAGAGGAGAGUGGAAUUCCAUGUGUAGCGGUGAAAUGCGUAGAUAUAUGGGGGAACACCAGUGGCGAAGGCGGCUCUCUGGUCUGUAACUGACGAUAAGGCUCGAAAGCGUGGGGAGCAAACAGG
Molecule: ribosomal RNA, 429 nt
Filed under: Gemmatimonadota bacterium
Lineage: Bacteria; Pseudomonadati; Gemmatimonadota
Description: Gemmatimonadetes bacterium partial 16S ribosomal RNA
Rfam family: Bacterial small subunit ribosomal RNA
Source: RNAcentral